This 574-nucleotide ribosomal RNA is filed under the name uncultured rumen bacterium. Its description in RNAcentral is "bacterial SSU rRNA". It matches the Rfam family "Bacterial small subunit ribosomal RNA", at positions 347 to 916 of the family's 1533-position model. The record is from RNAcentral.
GGCAGCGGCUAAGAAUAUUCCGCAAUGGACGAAAGUCUGACGGAGCGACGCCGCGUGGAUGAUGAAGGCCGGAAGGUUGUAAAAUCCUUUUAUGACUGAGGAAUAAGUGAAGUGAGAGAAACGCUUCUGGUGACUGUAGGUCAUGAAUAAGCAACGGCUAAUUACGUGCCAGCAGCCGCGGUAACACGUAAGUUGCGAGCGUUGUUCGGAAUUAUUGGGCGUAAAGGGUAUGUAGGCGGUUCUGCAAGUCUGGUGUGAAAUGCCGGGGCUCAACCCCGGAACUGCGUUGGAAACUGCAGGACUUGAAUCGCUGAGGGGCAGCCAGAAUUCCAGGUGUAGGGGUGAAAUCUGUAGAUAUCUGGAAGAAUACCAAUGGCGAAGGCAGGCUGCCAGCAGAUGAUUGACGCUGAGGUACGAAGGUGCGGGGAGCAAACAGGAUUAGAUACCCUGGUAGUCCGCACAGUCAACUAUGUACACUGGGUGUCCGCUCAUGAGAGUGGGUGCCGAAGCAAACGCGAUAAGUGUACCGCCUGGGGAGUAUGCCCGCAAGGGUGAAACUCAGAGGAAUUGACGG